UACGUAGGGAGCAAGCGUUGUCCGGUAUUACUGGGCGUAAAGGGCGCGUAGGUGGGCGCUUAAGUCAGGUGUGAAAACUCCGGGCUCAACCUGGAGACUGCACUUGAAACUGGGUGUCUUGAGGGCAGGAGAGGAAAGUGGAAUUCCUAGUGUAGCGGUGAAAUGCGUAGAUAUUAGGAGGAACACCAGUGGCGAAGGCGACUUUCUGGACUGUACCUGACGCUGAGGCGCGAAAGCGUGGGUAGCGAACGGG
Molecule: ribosomal RNA, 253 nt
Filed under: uncultured bacterium
Lineage: Bacteria
Description: partial 16S ribosomal RNA
Rfam family: Bacterial small subunit ribosomal RNA
Source: RNAcentral